Molecule: ribosomal RNA, 227 nt
Filed under: uncultured bacterium
Lineage: Bacteria
Description: partial 16S ribosomal RNA
Rfam family: Bacterial small subunit ribosomal RNA
Source: RNAcentral
UACGGAGGGGUUAGCGUUGUUCGGAAUGACUGGCGUAAAGCGCGCGUAGGCGGAUCAUCAAGUCGGGGGUGAAAUCCCGGGGCUCAACCCCGGAAUGGCCUUCGAGACUGGUGGUCUUGAGUUCGAGAGAGGUGAGUGGAAUUCCGAGUGUAGAGGUGAAAUUCGUAGAUAUUCGGAGGAACACCAGUGGCGAAGGCGGCUCACUGGCUCGACACUGACGCUGAGGU